RNAcentral lists this ribosomal RNA (231 nucleotides) under uncultured bacterium. Its description in RNAcentral is "partial 16S ribosomal RNA". It matches the Rfam family "Bacterial small subunit ribosomal RNA", at positions 118 to 350 of the family's 1533-position model. The record is from RNAcentral.
UGGGUAACCUGCCCUCAGCUUUGGGAUAACCCUCGGAAACGGGGGCUAAUACCGGAUAUUCACUGCUUCGCGCAUGUGGGGUGGUGGAAAGUUUUUCGGCUGGGGAUGGGCUCGCGGCCUAUCAGCUUGUUGGUGGGGUGAUGGCCUACCAAGGCGACGACGGGUAGCCGGCCUGAGAGGGCGACCGGCCACACUGGGACUGAGACACGGCCCAGACUCCUACGGGAGGCA